GUUUGUUAGUGUGUGAAUGGUGUUUAGCACCAGGGACAGGUAUGUUUACUUGUGUGUGGAUAGUGUUCAGUACCAGGGACAGGUUUGUUAGUGU
Molecule: microRNA precursor, 94 nt
Filed under: Branchiostoma floridae (Florida lancelet)
Lineage: Eukaryota; Metazoa; Chordata; Leptocardii; Amphioxiformes; Branchiostomatidae
Description: mir-2060 microRNA precursor family
Rfam family: mir-2060 microRNA precursor family
Source: Rfam by way of RNAcentral